RNAcentral lists this transfer RNA (61 nucleotides) under Krisna quadrimaculosus. Its description in RNAcentral is "tRNA-Asp". The record is from RNAcentral. Lineage: Eukaryota; Metazoa; Arthropoda; Insecta; Hemiptera; Cicadellidae.
UAAAAUCUAGUUUAAUAAAAAUAUUAAUUUGUCAAAUUAAAGUUAUAUAAAAUGAUUUUAA